Long non-coding RNA from Salvia splendens (bonfire salvia), 352 nucleotides. RefSeq lists it as uncharacterized. The record is from RefSeq and is a predicted model, not a curated record. Lineage: Eukaryota; Viridiplantae; Streptophyta; Magnoliopsida; Lamiales; Lamiaceae. The transcript is spliced from 3 exons.
CAACCACCCCUCCCUCUAUAUCAUUCACUCCAAGUCAGUUUCUUUUUCCUAUUCGUUCUCUACAUCAGGAAAACAAGCUUCAAUCUUUCAAGAAAUCGAGAACCAAAUUCGAGAGAGGGAGAUACCUGUUGUUCGAAAUCUGUUCAAGGUUGAGCGGCGACGAGAGUACGGUGGUGUUGAGCAAGUCAAUUGGUAAAUGAACUGUUUUUUUUGAAUUAUGGGUGUCGUUGUGUCUUCACACAUGACGUCACUCUUACUCUUGGUCGUUUCCGCUGUGACAUUUCUUUCACUUAUCGUUUAUUGGGCUUGCAACGUAAAUUAUUUGGAUAUUGAAUAUUUGGGAUUUUACUAA